Molecule: unclassified non-coding RNA, 500 nt
Filed under: uncultured Diversispora
Lineage: Eukaryota; Fungi; Glomeromycota; Glomeromycetes; Diversisporales; Diversisporaceae
Description: SSU rRNA
Rfam family: Eukaryotic small subunit ribosomal RNA
Source: RNAcentral
CCAAUAGCGUAUAUUAAAGUUGUUGCAGUUAAAAAGCUCGUAGUUGAACUUCGGGGUUUACUUAUUGGUCAGGCUUAAUUGUCUGCACUGGUAAGAUGAAUCUCUACCUUCUGAGGAACUUUCAUGCCAUUUAUUUGGUGUGAUUGGAAAUCAGGACUGUUACUUUGAAAAAAUUAGAGUGUUUAAAGCAGGCUAACGUCUGAAUACAUUAGCAUGGAAUAAUGAAAUAGGACGGACUGAUUCUAUUUCGUUGGUUUCUAGGAUCACCGUAAUGAUUAAUAGGGAUAGUUGGGGGCAUUAGUAUUCAAUUGUCAGAGGUGAAAUUCUUGGAUUUAUUGAAGACGAACUACUGCGAAAGCAUUCGCCAAGGAUGUUUUCAUUAAUCAGUGAACGAAAGUUAGGGGAUCGAAGACGAUCAGAUACCGUCGUAGUCUUAACCAUAAACUAUGCCGACUAGCGAUCCGCGGCCGUUGUUCAUAUGACUUCGCGGGCAGCCUUCG